GGAGUUGUGGCUCAGUGGUAGAGUGCUUGCCUCACAUGUGUGAGGCACUGGGUUCAAUUCUCAGCACCA
This 69-nucleotide transfer RNA is filed under the name Ictidomys tridecemlineatus (thirteen-lined ground squirrel). RNAcentral describes it as "Spermophilus tridecemlineatus (thirteen-lined ground squirrel) tRNA". It matches the Rfam family "tRNA". Rfam says of the family: Transfer RNA (tRNA) molecules are approximately 80 nucleotides in length. Their secondary structure includes four short double-helical elements and three loops (D, anti-codon, and T loops). The record is from Rfam by way of RNAcentral. Lineage: Eukaryota; Metazoa; Chordata; Mammalia; Rodentia; Sciuridae.